UACGUAGGGUCCAAGCGUUGUCCGGAUUUAUUGGGCGUAAAGAGCUCGUAGGCGGCUCGGUAAGUCGGAUGUGAAACCUCCAGGCUCAACCUGGAGUCGCCAUCCGAUAUUGCUGUGGCUUGAGUCCGGUAGGGGAGCAUGGAAUUCCUGGUGUAGCGGUGAAAUGCGUAGAUAUCUGGAGGAAUACCGGUGGCGAAGGCGGCAUCCUGGACCGACAUUGACGCUGAUGAGCGAAAGCUAGGGGAGCAAACGGG
RNAcentral lists this ribosomal RNA (254 nucleotides) under uncultured bacterium. RNAcentral's name for it is "partial 16S ribosomal RNA". It matches the Rfam family "Bacterial small subunit ribosomal RNA", at positions 524 to 776 of the family's 1533-position model. The record is from RNAcentral.